RNAcentral lists this ribosomal RNA (411 nucleotides) under Hepatozoon canis. RNAcentral describes it as "bacterial SSU rRNA". It matches the Rfam family "Eukaryotic small subunit ribosomal RNA", at positions 491 to 900 of the family's 1831-position model. The record is from RNAcentral. Lineage: Eukaryota; Apicomplexa; Hepatozoidae.
AGUUAAAAUGCUUUGUAAUUGGAAUGAUAGAAAUUUAAACCCUUUUUAAAGUAUCAAUUGGAGGGCAAGUCUGGUGCCAGCAGCCGCGGUAAUUCCAGCUCCAAUAGCGUAUAUUAAAAUUGUUGCAGUUAAAAAGCUCGUAGUUGAAGUUCUGCUGAAAGUAACCGGUCUGCUUUUAAUAAAAGUGGUAUCUUGGUAUGUAUUUAGCAAUGAUGUCCUUUGAAGUGUUUUUUACUUUAUUGUAAUAAAGCAUAUUCAGGACUUUUACUUUGAGAAAAUUAGAGUGUUUCUAGCAGGCUAACGCUUUGAAUACUGCAGCAUGGAAUAAUAAGAUAGGAUUUUAGUUCUACAUUAUUGGUUUUAAGAGCUAAAUUAAUGAUUGAUAGGGACAGUUGGGGGCAUUUGUAUUUA